AUUGAACGCUGGCGGCAUGCCUUACACAUGCAAGUCGAACGGCAGCACGGGAGCAAUCCUGGUGGCGAGUGGCGAACGGGUGAGUAAUAUAUCGAAACGUGCCCGGUCGUGGGGAUAACGUAGCGAAAGCUACGCUAAUACCGCAUACGAUCUACGGAUGAAAGCGGGGGAUCGCAAGACCUCGCGCGAUUGGAGCGGCCGAUAUCAGAUUAGGUAGUUGGUGAGGUAAAGGCUCACCAAGCCGACGAUCUGUAGCUGGUCUGAGAGGACGACCAGCCACACUGGGACUGAGACACGGCCCAGACUCCUACGGGAGGCAGCAGUGGGGAAUUUUGGACAAUGGGCGCAAGCCUGAUCCAGCAAUGCCGCGUGCAGGAUGAAGGCC
RNAcentral lists this ribosomal RNA (385 nucleotides) under uncultured bacterium. RNAcentral describes it as "bacterial SSU rRNA". It matches the Rfam family "Bacterial small subunit ribosomal RNA", at positions 30 to 416 of the family's 1533-position model. The record is from RNAcentral.